Rattus norvegicus (Norway rat) is the source of this 131-nucleotide small nucleolar RNA. Ensembl annotates it as small nucleolar RNA SNORA17. The record is from Ensembl. NCBI's taxonomy places the organism in Eukaryota, Metazoa, Chordata, Mammalia, Rodentia, Muridae.
CCUGCCUCUAGAAGCAUUGCAGGGGUGGCUGCUCUGUCACUGUGCAUCAGUAGGUGGCAGAGAGAAGAGAGGCUAUGUCUACACCCAGUGUUGUGACCUAUGAACAUCUGAAUUAUUAGUAGCCUAACAUU